Pelodiscus sinensis (Chinese soft-shelled turtle) is the source of this 614-nucleotide non-coding RNA. The record is from RefSeq and is a predicted model, not a curated record. NCBI's taxonomy places the organism in Eukaryota, Metazoa, Chordata, Testudines, Trionychidae.
CAACUACAAGUCCCCUCAGGUCCAGCAUGCACAGUUCUGAGCUCUUAUCCAGUGAUGGCUUUACAUUACCGAAGAAACUCAUUCACCUCUGAAUGCUAUUUGCACACCCUGAAACAGCCAGAGAAUCACAGGCACAACUAGAGUGACAGGAGGAGUGGACAGGGACCACAUUUAUGUUGCAGAGGAGCCUGCAUAAUGGAGGAGAUGAGGACGAGGAGGAGCAGGAUCCGGAUGAAGCAAGCAUCACCACCCAGCAGACCCAGCAGCCCGAAAGCCUCUCUGUGGACGUGCCCCAGGCAUCAUUUGAGGCAGGGGAAUUUACAUCAUCCGGACCAGCUGCAAGAGAGGGGCGGUCAACACACCCAGGACAGCCUCCUGGACCCGAGGCAUCUGCAGGCGCCACUGUCCCAUGGACAAAUCCAGCGGCAGCACCUGGUGGCACUGUGAGCCAUGCACUACACCAUAAAGGGCUGGGUCCAGGAGGAUCUGCAGCUGCAUCAGGAGAGCUGGCAGGAGCCGCUUGUACAGGGCUGCUGAAUGUGUUCAGAUGUCCACUCCCUUGCGCUGAGCAUGAUGCCUCCUCCUGUUCUAACCUCUGCUCCCACUCCUGCUGU